Molecule: ribosomal RNA, 466 nt
Filed under: uncultured bacterium
Lineage: Bacteria
Description: partial 16S ribosomal RNA
Rfam family: Bacterial small subunit ribosomal RNA
Source: RNAcentral
GACGAACGCUGGCGGCGUGCUUAACACAUGCAAGUCGAACGGAAAGGCCCUGCUUUUGUGGGGUGCUCGAGUGGCGAACGGGUGAGUAACACGUGAGUAACCUGCCCUUGACUUUGGGAUAACUUCAGGAAACUGGGGCUAAUACCGGAUAGGAGCUCCUGCUGCAUGGUGGGGGUUGGAAAGUUUCGGCGGUUGGGGAUGGACUCGCGGCUUAUCAGCUUGUUGGUGGGGUAGUGGCUUACCAGGCUUUGACGGGUAGCCGGCCUGAGAGGGUGACCGGCCACAUUGGGACUGAGAUACGGCCCAGACUCCAACGGGAGGCAGCAGUGGGGAAUAUUGCACAAUGGGCGGAAGCCUGAUGCAGCAACGCCGCGUGCGGGAUGACGGCCUUCGGGUUGUAAACCGCUUUCGCCUGUGACGAAGCGUGAGUGACGGUAAUGGGUAAAGAAGCACCGGCGAACUACGU